GACGAACGCUGGCGGCGUGCUUAAUACAUGCAAGUCGAACGGACAGGCCCUGCUUUUGUGGGGUGCUCGUGUGGCGAACGGGUGAGUAACACGUGAGUAUCCCGCACUUGACUUUGGGAUAACUUCAGGAAACUGGGGCUAAUACCGGAUAGGAGCUCCUGCUGCAUGGUGGGGGUUGGAAAGUUUCGGCGGUUGGGGAUGGACUCGCGGCUUAUCCGCUUGUUGGUGGGGUAGUGGCUUACCAAGGCUUUGACGGGUAGCCCACCUGAGAGGGUGGCCGGGGACAAGAGGACUGAGGGACGGACCAGUCGGGAAUGGGAGGCAGUGGGCGAGAACAUGACGCAGUGGGGGGAAGCGAGAGACGGCGGCGCUGGGAGCGUAAAGACCGGUUUCGAGUUAAGAACAGCUGUCGAAGUAAACGAGGCGGUAGUGACGGUAAUUAGUCAAAAAGCACCGGCUAACUACGUG
Molecule: ribosomal RNA, 468 nt
Filed under: uncultured bacterium
Lineage: Bacteria
Description: partial 16S ribosomal RNA
Rfam family: Bacterial small subunit ribosomal RNA
Source: RNAcentral